Molecule: ribosomal RNA, 447 nt
Filed under: uncultured bacterium
Lineage: Bacteria
Description: SSU rRNA
Rfam family: Bacterial small subunit ribosomal RNA
Source: RNAcentral
AGAGCGAACGCUGGCGGCAGGCCUAACACAUGCAAGUCGAGCGCCCCGCAAGGGGAGCGGCAGACGGGAGAGUAACACGUGGGAACGUACCCUUUGGUUCGGAACAACACAGGGAAACUUGUGCUAAUACCGGAUAAGCCCUUACGGGGAAAGAUUUAUCGCCAAAGGAUCGGCCCGCGUCUGAUUAGCUUGUUGGUGAGGUAACGGCUCACCAAGGCUACGAUCAGUAGCUGGUCUGAGAGGAUGAUCAGCCUCACUGGGACUGAGACACGGCCCAGACUCCUACGGGAGGCAGCAGUGGGGAAUAUUGGACAAUGGGCGCAAGCCUGAUCCAGCCAUGCCGCGUGGAUGAUGAAGGCCCUAGGGUUGUAAAGUCCUUUCGGACGGGGAAGAUAAUGACGGUACCCGUAGAAGAAGCCCCGGCUAACGUUCGCGCCAGCCAGCCGC